RNAcentral lists this transfer RNA (73 nucleotides) under Desulfurobacteriaceae bacterium. Its description in RNAcentral is "tRNA-Lys". It matches the Rfam family "tRNA". From Rfam's summary of the family: Transfer RNA (tRNA) molecules are approximately 80 nucleotides in length. Their secondary structure includes four short double-helical elements and three loops (D, anti-codon, and T loops). The record is from RNAcentral. Lineage: Bacteria; Pseudomonadati; Aquificota; Aquificia; Desulfurobacteriales; Desulfurobacteriaceae.
GGGCUGGUAGCUCAGUUGGUAGAGCAGCGGACUCUUAAUCCGCAGGUCGCGGGUUCGAGUCCCGCCCAGCCCA